Molecule: ribosomal RNA, 763 nt
Filed under: uncultured Streptococcus sp.
Lineage: Bacteria; Bacillati; Bacillota; Bacilli; Lactobacillales; Streptococcaceae
Description: bacterial SSU rRNA
Rfam family: Bacterial small subunit ribosomal RNA
Source: RNAcentral
GACGAACGCUGGCGGCGUGCCUAAUACAUGCAAGUAGAACGCUGAAGGAGGAGCUUGCUUCUCUGGAUGAGUUGCGAACGGGUGAGUAACGCGUAGGUAACCUGCCUGGUAGCGGGGGAUAACUAUUGGAAACGAUAGCUAAUACCGCAUAAGAGUAGAUGUUGCAUGACAUUUGCUUAAGAGGUGCAAUUGCAUCACUACCAGAUGGACCUGCGUUGUAUUAGCUAGUUGGUGGGGUAACGGCUCACCAAGGCGACGAUACAUAGCCGACCUGAGAGGGUGAUCGGCCACACUGGGACUGAGACACGGCCCAGACUCCUACGGGAGGCAGCAGUAGGGAAUCUUCGGCAAUGGACGGAAGUCUGACCGAGCAACGCCGCGUGAGUGAAGAAGGUUUUCGGAUCGUAAAGCUCUGUUGUAAGAGAAGAACGAGUGUGAGAGUGGAAAGUUCACACUGUGACGGUAUCUUACCAGAAAGGGACGGCUAACUACGUGCCAGCAGCCGCGGUAAUACGUAGGUCCCGAGCGUUGUCCGGAUUUAUUGGGCGUAAAGCGAGCGCAGGCGGUUAGAUAAGUCUGAAGUUAAAGGCUGUGGCUUAACCAUAGUACGCUUUGGAAACUGUUUAACUUGAGUGCAAGAGGGGAGAGUGGAAUUCCAUGUGUAGCGGUGAAAUGCGUAGAUAUAUGGAGGAACACCGGUGGCGAAAGCGGCUCUCUGGCUUGUAACUGACGCUGAGGCUCGAAAGCGUGGGGAGCAAACAGG